RNAcentral lists this ribosomal RNA (254 nucleotides) under uncultured bacterium. RNAcentral describes it as "partial 16S ribosomal RNA". It matches the Rfam family "Bacterial small subunit ribosomal RNA", at positions 524 to 776 of the family's 1533-position model. The record is from RNAcentral.
UACGUAGGGCGCAAGCGUUGUCCGGAAUUAUUGGGCGUAAAGAGCUCGUAGGCGGCUUGUCACGUCGGGUGUGAAAGCCCGGGGCUUAACCCCGGGUCUGCAUUCGAUACGGGCAUCACUGGAGUUCGGCAGGGGAGACUGGAAUUCCUGGUGUAGCGGUGAAAUGCGUAGAGAUCCGGAGGAAUACCAGUGGCGCAAGCGGCGCUCUGGGUCACAUCUGACACUGAGACGCGAAGGCAUGGGGAGCGAACGGG